Molecule: long non-coding RNA, 42090 nt
Filed under: Malus domestica (apple)
Lineage: Eukaryota; Viridiplantae; Streptophyta; Magnoliopsida; Rosales; Rosaceae
Source: RNAcentral
CAAAUAUAUUGCUUUCCUUGUGUUUAAAUGCCGUGUACUGCAAGAUCAAAUGCACUGUGUCCAACAUUUUAUCUAAAAUGAAAAGAAAAACAUUUGCUCAUUUUUCUUCAUGGUUUGUCCAAUCAGAUGCAUCUGAAAAAAGAGAAUUAGAUUGGGGAAGACGUUUUCGAAUUAUAGAAGGCAUUGCUCAAGGAGUACUUUAUAUCCACAAGUACUCUAGAUUGAAAAUCAUCCACAGGGACCUAAAAGCAAGUAACAUACUGUUGGAUAGAGCCUUGAAUCCCAAAAUUUCAGACUUUGGAAUGGCAAGGAUUUUCGGGAUAAACCAGACUGAAGCAAAUACCAAUAGGGUUGUUGGCACAUAGUAAGUCUACAUAUACCUGGCACAUGUUUUCAUUCAAGUAAUGUUCUAUUGCUUACUUCUAUACAUACUGUCAAUUCAUGUGCAGCGGUUACAUGUCACCUGAAUAUGCAAGAUAUGGUCAUUUCUCUGAGAAAUUAGAUGUAUUCAGCUUCGGAGUGUUAUUGUUGGAGAUUGUAAGCGGAAAGAAAAAUGCUGCUUUUUAUCGCUUUGAACAUUCACCAACUCUUGCUGGAUGGGUAAGUACUUAAAAAUUAUUCUUGCUCACAAUCAUUCUGUCUUUAAGCCUUCCAAAUUCGCAAAUGACCGUAAAUUCAACAUUUUAAUUAGGCAUGGGAGUUGUGGAAAGAAGGAAGAGGAAUGGAGGUGAUCGAUGAAUCGGUAAGGGAAACGUGCCACCUCGAUGAAGCUUUGAAGUGUAUCCAUGUAGGGUUUUUGUGUGUUCAAGAAGCUCCAGCUGAUCGACCAACAAUGUCUUCGGUAAUUCAUAUGUUGCAGGGCAAUGAAUCUACGUCUCUUCCACCUUCCAAAGAACCUACCUUUUCAACACACAGACAUUCCAAUCCUGUUCGCUCUUCUGAAAUGCCUACCAUUUUUUCUCACAACUCAGUCACCAUGAGUUUGCCAGAAGGUCGGUAGGGGUUGAAAGAACAGUGGCUAGCAAGCAGUUGAGAAAAUAGUGUAUUAAAUUAGAAAAAAAGACAUUGCGACAAAUAUGUUUAUACGAACACUUCAAGGGUUCAAUUGGAGAAAUAAAAGUCCCCUCAGCUGUGAGGUUGAGUCUCUUAGAAAGCAUACACCGAAAGAGAAAUGAAUUACUGGUGUUUGUGUUUAAUGGUUUAUGCCCAUCUAGACUAAACCUAUAAUAGCACCAGAUUAAACUUAUGUUAAAGUGUUUUUCAGCUGCAAAUAUGGGCAUAGCCAUAUUUCAAGUUAUGUUCCCACCCCACCCCUUGGUGCAAACCAAUUUAUAUUAAUAUAAAAUAGAAUGUUGUUUGUAUGAAAAGAAAAAAGAGGAGAUUUUUUUACAUUUUUCAACUUUCAAAAGACAAAAAAUAAGAACAAAAUUAGUAUAGAACAAAGGAUUUUACAUUAGUAUAUCCAUAAUUGAAGGAUUUAAGCCCUUUCCAUACAUUGAUUUUUUCUACAAAGACUUGGUCCAUAUGGCAGCUAAUAAACAAUCUGUGAAGGUUGAAUAGUUGACUUAGUUGACUUGCAAGCAGGCGAGAAUAUCUAUCUAUAUAUGGUUAAGCGAGAGUCUCACGGAUGGCGACAAAAUUUUGGAGUCACCCCAUUCAAAACCUGUCCAAAAUAAUAUAUCAAAUCAUGCAAUGAUAAUUUGGUAAUUUAGUCAUAAUAAAAUAUAAAGUAAUGGGUUGUUGGACAAAAAAAUAAGAUUAAAAAAAUGUAAGGAGUUCCAUCCCUCUCCCCCCCCCCCGGCGCGUCUCAUCUCUCAUCCCUCAUUAGAGGUGGGCACUUAGAACCAAAAACCAAACUAAAACACGAACCAAAUCGAACCGCACCGAACGGUUUGGGUUUGCGGUUUUUGAACGGUUUCGGUUUUGAAACCGAACCGCAACAUAGAAAACAGUUUGGUUUCGGUUUUGACUUUUGAAAACUGCACCGAAACCGAACCGCACCACAAAUAUUAAUAAACAUUUAAUUAAAUGUCCAUAUUAAAUUUCAUGUUUUAAUUGGUUGUUUAUUAAAAUCCAUGCACUUAGUACGGACUCAACCACACUAGAAUAUCAUUAUUCAUCACUUUCUUUCGUUCAUUAACUUGAAGGACCUUUGUUAUUUUAUACCAUCACACACACACACACACACACACACACAUAUAUGUACAAGGGUGGACUAAUCUUGUUAUCAAGAGUCGAACAAUGAUCUAAUGAAGUCCACUCAUUUGAAGCAUGAUAUCACAUAUUCUAGUAUAAAAGUUUCGCUCACGUUUAAUGAAUUCAAAGUUAUUCAAUUUGUAUUAUGUUAUACCUUGUACGGGACAUCCUUUUGUUGCACAAACAUGUUUUAACAUCACAACUGCAUGCAACAUGCUAAUUGUUUAUAUAACAAAUGUCUUUUUCCUAUUGCUACUGGGAAAUGCUUAUUAAUAUGUUAAAUUGCAAAUUGUACAUUUUUUUCUUAAAAACCAAACCAAAACAGUUUGAAACCGCACCGCACCGCACCGAACUAAACGAUUUGGUUUCAUUUCGAUUUUGGCUUCAAAACCGCACCGAACCAAACCACAAAAAAUUUCGAUUUCGGUUUCGGUUUCACUCAAAACCACACCGAACUAAACCGUGUCCACCCAUAUCCCUCACGUCUCUCUCUCUCCUCAUUUUCAUUGUUUUCCUCUUGCCCUUCUUUCUCUCUAUAAAAAAAAGUUUUCGCAUGUUGAUAAUAAUGUGAUUAAAUUAAUUGUCAAAUGAUUAAUUUUUUUUUUUAACAAACAACAUUAUCUAUACUAAGGAGGAGGGGGUAAACUUAACCUCACAAUGGGCUAGCAAUAAUGUGAUUCAAUUAGUUGUUCAUUCAAUAUUAUUUUCUCUAUUUUUAAACACGUUCAAAACAUCUUAAGAGGCGUGUAAUGCCGGUUAUAAAAAAGAUUUUUCGCAUGCGGAUAAUAAUGUGAUUAAAUUAGUUGUCAAAUAAUUUUGUUUUUAACAAACGAUAUUAUGUAAGAGAGAGGGGGUGGGCUUUAGCUUCACAAUAGACUAGCAAUAAUGUGAUUUAAUCAAUUGUUCAUUAAAUAUUAUUUUCUCUAUUCUUAUUGUAAAUUCUAUAGAGACCGAUUUUAUUAUGUGAAUUCAACUACUUUAAUUGAUUUAUGAGAGAUUUCUUCUAGCAUGAUCUAAGAUUAUUUAUUACGUCAAAUAUUUGACUUUCAUUUUGUCAAUUUAUGCAUAUAAAUGCAUUUAAAACGUGUAAGUUGUGCGUACCACGUCGUGAUUUAAAAAAUAUCUUCUACACACGCUCACGCGCGUUCAUGAAGGCUAGUAAUGUAUUAAAUUAGAAUAGAACUACCAUGAUAACUAUAAGUUUUAUACAAGCAUUUAAAGGGUUAAAUUGGAAUGCACCCCGCAGAAACUUCAAAGAAAUAAAGUUUAUCUAGAAAGAAAAUGAUGCGUAUACCAAACGGAGUAAAAAUAUGAUGACGGUGUUCAAAUAGUUAAUACACUAGAAAAUGUACCCGCGUGUUGCUACGGGAUUUGAAGCAUUGUUGAAGAUGUGGAAAGUGCUAAAACAUAUAUGCUAAGAAGUGGGGUUUAUAUACGUGUUACAUCCAUAUGUUAAUCAAGUGUUAUUUACAUUCGUAUAUUACAUUACAAAAAUUGGUGAUGCUCAAGAAAAACAAAUUGGGGAUGCUCAAGGACUUUUUCGUAACCUAUGGCUCUAUCUCGUCCUAAAUUGCAUAUGUUUACAACUAUAUAAAGUUAAAAAAAUCCAGUUUUAAUCCACUGAAGACAUCCAAAUCCAUAACUCCAUUAAUGGUAUCUCCCUCCUUUGUUUUGUACGACAACAUUGAACUAAAAAAUCAAAAAGGAGGAAAUUAAAAACAGAAUUUGAUCACUCAGUGAAUUGAAUCACCUUAAAUUGCAUAUAAAUUGAAUUUGAAUUAAAUUGAAUGAAAGUAUACAGACGAAGGGAAAGUUGUCAUAACUUUACCAUGCAAGAUUUUACCAUGCCCGAUUUCAUUUGCAUGUCCCAAAAUCAAUUUACGAAAUUAAGGUUGGGGUUUUCAUAUUCUCUAUUGGGUAAUGAAAGUCACGUGAAAAGUUCAGAAAUAACCAAACCAAAAUCCAAUUUAGUACACCUAAGAAAAACAUUAGCAAGAAACUAUUUCCAACUCAUCAUUUAUUUAUCAAACACAGUAAUACAGUCAUAGAAACACUCUUAACUCACUCACCAAAAUUGAAUUAAUUAAAUUGGAUGUUGGGGUCAAGUCAAAACGACGGUCGGAGGGGCCAGACAUUUUCAAAGGUGUUGAAGAGAAAAGAGGUCGGACAAAUCAAGAUCUUAGAAAUGCAAGAAGGGAGCUUCUACUGGUGGAGAUUCAAGUGUGCUUUGGAACUUAAUACUAGCCUCUAUAAAAAUCCGCACUCGAUGGAGCUUCAGAAAUCGAAGAGGCGCCUGCUCAGAAAUCGAAAAGGCGUUUGCUUUCUCAAAAGCUGGGCUGCUCAGAGACCACGAUGGCCGAUCUCAGGAAUCGAAGAGGCGUUUGCUUUCUCAAAAGCUGGGCUGCUCAAAGACCACGAAGGUCGAUUGCAGAAAUCGAAGAGGCGCUUGCUUUCUCAAAAGCUGGGCUGCUCAGAGACCACGAGGGCCGAUCUCAGAAAUCGAAGAGGCACCUGCUUUUUCAACCUUAUCAGCACCUGUCACAUGCACACUCAACUUUGCGGAAAUUACGGGCAUUCUGUCGAAGAUUUCUAGUGAAGUAGAAAGCACGUGAAUGUUACUGUUCAAUCAUUCACUUUCCACACGCAACAUCAGCUCACGGGUACCACAGAUAACUUUGCCAAAAAUCUCUGACAAAGUUUAGACACGUGAAGCUUGCAGCUCCCAUUACAUCGCUAUGACCAAGAAGGGUAAAAGAAUAGCAAAGAAGCAGCACUAACAAAGUUUAGACACAUAAAUUUUGAAGGUCUAGCUAUCAUAUUACCCACAAAGGUAAAGGAACAGGACCAUUGCUGGAUAAUUGGAAAGUCCCUGUGGGUCAACCUCUGUGCUCCGUGGCAAGGUAGACUAGCAAACAGGCCUAACCUUUACUCACAUUCGAGAAAACACUCCCAACAAGAUUGCUUGCUUCAAGAUCGAAGAGGCACCGUCCUCCGAAUCUCGAGAGCCAGACUCCCAACAUGAUUACUUUCUCAAAAAGCGACGAGACACCGCUCUCCGAAUCUCGAGAGCCAGACUCCUAGCAGGAUUGCUUUCUCAAAAAUCGAAGAGGCACCGUUCUCCGAAUCUCGAGAGACAGAUCCCCGACAGGAUUGCUUGUUCGAAAACCGAAGAGGCACCGCUUUCUCAACUUCGAGAGCCCCUUAGAUAAAGCUUGUUUGUAAUCCUCACACCGCUUUCUCAACUUCGAGAGCCAGAUCUCUUUGGAUAAAGCUUGUCUGUAAUCUUCACACGUAACAUCAGCUUUCCAGAUACCACACACCACUUUUUCAAAGUGCUCUGACAAAGUUAAAACACGUGAAGCUGGCAGCUCCCACUACCGUGCUAUGACCAAGCAGGGUAAAAGAAUAAUAUUACUCAUUGUUAGGGAGACUCCUAUAUAUGUCGACAUCCAUCCUCAACGGACAAGCAGACCUGCAAAAAUGCUCAACCCUUCCUCAUAUCUGAGAGGGCAUUCCCAACGAAGCCUUUCGAAAUACUCAGCUUUCUUUCCCCCCGAGAAUACCUCUGCAAACAAGCUACACUAGAGCAAGAAUAUCUCAUAUCAUCAGGGUUAAAAGCAAGAGUAUCCCAUAUCAUGCUUUUUCUCUGUCUUUUCCUUUGGCCUUGUUCUUACCUGCAAGACAAGGAGAAAGAGAGCAAUCAGUCAGCACUUGGAAUCAAGCUUCCAGUCCGGAACUAACUGCCUGGAACCCCAUUGCUCUCGAGUACUCAUCUUCAACAUCUUAUGCUUCCCGAGAAGAUACCACAUCUGCCUGAGGAACAAAUAGGGCAAGUGAGAAGGAUACAAGGAAGCAUGUGGAGACAAGCGCAACAGAACACGUGCCGAUACAUCCACUACUUUGUCAACAGCAAAAGUAUCCCAUAUCAGCAGGGUCGAACGUACUCUAGAUUUGAUGGACUUGUUUUGACUCUCAAAUUCUUCAGUCGGCCUUAUACUCUGGCGGAAACAAGAAAACCUUCCAGCCCAGUUCAAGAAUAAGCCUGUGGAAAGUUACUUCUUCAAAAGUAAAAGUAUCUCAUAUCACCUUUUCUCCUUUUCUUCUCUUUAUCCUUCAUGCUACCUGCAAGAUAAGGAGAAGGAUAACAAUCAGCCGGAACUCGAAAUCAAACUUCUGAUCAGGGACUGAUUGCUUGAAGCUCUGAUUGCUUACCUUGUCUGUCACCUCUUUCAGCAGAUCCCCUAGCUCGGCGACUUGGGGGUCUCCUACUACAUGGUUUGUAUGGCGCUUGACCAAGCCUGAAACUACAAGUAAGCAUCAAGUGAAAUUGAUACAUUACCUUGUGCAUCUCCACCAGUUAAAGAUACCACCCCUGGAGGGAGGAAGAGUACUUCCAAAGAAGAUGCCACAUCUACCUAUGAGACAGAUAAGGCAAGUGAAGACGAUACCACACUUCGGUACUUAAAAGUUUCGUGAUUACGAGAUCAUUCUUCCACAAUAUUUCCUAAUGUCAUUUGUACUAAAUCAUUCACUUGUACUCACUAAAGGAGAGCUUGAACCUAUAUACUGUGUAAACCCUUCACAAUUAAUGAGAACUCCUUUACUCCGUGGACGUAGCCAAUCUGGGUGAACCACGUACAUCUUAUGUUUGCUUCCUGUCUCUAUCCAUUUACAUACUUAUCCACACUAAUGACCGAAGCAAUCUAGCGAAGAUCACAAACUUAAUAUUUAAGAUGAUAUUCUUUGGUGUAUGCUUUUCACAAACGAUAUAGUGUUGAUAGAUGAAACGCAGGAAGGGGUAAACGCGAAGCUUAACCUUUGGAGAGAAGUGUUGAAAUCUAAAGGUCCUCGCCUAAGCCGAUCAAAGACAGAAUAUAUGGAGUGCAAGUUCAGUGCAAACGGAGGCCAAAAUGAGUUAGGGGUGAGGAUCGGAGAUCAGGAAAUACCAAAGAGCGACCGUUUUCGCUACCUAGGAUCUAUCUUGCAAAAGAACAGAAAAUUUGAUGGAGAUCUCACCCAUAAAAUACAAGCUGGAUGGAUGAAGUGGAAGAGUGCAUUCGGCGUGUUGUGUGACCGUCGUAGGCCACUGAAGCUCAAGGGAAAAUUUUAUAGGACGGCAAUAAGGCCGGCAAUGCUGUAUGGCAUAGAAUGUUGGGCGGUGAAGCAUCAACACAUAGGUGUAGUGGAGAUGAGGAUGCUUCGUUGGAUGUGUGGGCACACGAGAAAUGAUAAGAUUAGGAAUGAGGAUAUCCGAGGUAAAGUAGGAGUAGCCGAAAUUGAAGGAAAGAAGAGAGAAAAUCGGUUACGGUGGUUUGGACAUGUGCAAAGAAUGCCUACUGACGCUCCGGUUCGAAGAUGUGACCACGGGACAGAGGUUCAGGGCCGAAGGGGUAGAGGAAGACCUAGGAAAACUUUGGAAGAGACCCUAAGAAAAGACUUAGAGUACUUGGAUCUAACGGAGGACAUGACACAAAAUCGAGCGCAAUGGCGUUCUAGGAUUCAUAUAGCCGACCUCACUUAGUGGGAAAAUGCUUUGUUGUUGUUGUUGUUGUGGAUGUUGGGGUCAAAAUUUUAUGUCCGCCUAAGGAUAUUUGAGACUAAAAAUUUAACUCUACUCAGUUUAGCUUCCAAGUCAUUUUUAUUUUCGGUCUUCAGAUUUAGACUAAAUAUUUAACAUUACUUAGUGUAGUUUCAAAUUUAACUUUCCCUUGAGCGCUUGUCUACUGGAUUUAUCUUCUAUAGCCUUUUGUUUGCAAUUUGAAUUACAUGACUCAAAAUACAGCCCAAAUAGAACACAAAUGGCCCUUAGAAAACAAAAUGCGAAAUAUUUACUAAUCACUAUUCAUGGUUUUGGUCAAAGAACUCAAAUUUCAGAGAUACAAAACAGAGCAGCUCGUAUAAAUCAUUUAUAAAGGUUACCUCUUUUUGGUUGAAAAAUUGAAGGGUGACGCCAAUUCUUCUUCAGCUUCCACCUCCUUGUGGAACUUGACCCGCCAGUCACAUUUGCACGUGAACCUGAAAUCAACAACCAGUCAGUACCUUUGGCAAGCUCAUGGGGGUAUGACAACAUGUAUAGGAAUAUUAUUGCAACUCUAUUAAACGAAGAAGUAUUCAGUUGAGGAUGUCGAUGAGGGAGGGAAGAAGAAGAAAAGAAAUGCUAGUUGAGGAACAAAAGAAUUUUGAUGCUGCGUUCGGUUUGUAUGUAUGGUCUAAGAAUUUACAAACUGCCUAUAUGAUUCACUCGCUUCUGUGUCUUCAUCAAAUCUAUUUCUUUUUUACUACCUCUUCUUUCAUGAAGGUAUAAUCGUCACAUUAUUUUCUAACAUAAAAUAUACACCUAACAGACGUUUAAUACAUUGCCCAUAAGUUAACUGAGGUGGGUUUUGCUUGAGUAGUUGGUGACCUUCACAGUCGGCCAAUUGCGGCUGACAUGUGAUUGAUCGUAUAAGGAUAUCUAUUUAAAAUAGUUAAGGGACUUCAAGGAUGCCUCUAGAUUUAUUCUGGUUAGAAGAUCGGGUUGAGUAACAAGUUUUGACUCCAACGGAUAUUUUGCAUAGAAGACUUCAGAAAAUGUGAUUCGCAAAAUGAUGUCAGAUUUCAAAAUUUAAGGCAUGUUUUAAGUGCACUAAGAUAUCUCGAAACGUAUCCUGAUGUGAUACUAUAAUUUCAUGGAAGGAAGAAGAAAGAAUAGUCUAAAAUUUUCCUGUCCAAUAACUCCAUCACCAUCAUCUCCAAUCAGAGCAAUGAUAUCCUCAAUAGACAGAAUUGUUUUAUUUUGGGUACUUAUCUAAACACACAAAAAUUAAACAUUUUCUCAUCCAAUUCACAUAUAAAAUGGUCCAAAAGUGCAUGCAGUGGUUGAGUAGAAACUAAUGUUACUUUGAAUUGAUGAAGUGUUUAUCCUCUAGAAGAUCUACAUAUCUAUUAUAAACCAAUCUUUAGUCUUGCAGAAAGUGAUAUGCUGACUCCAAAUUCCCAUAAUAUUAAAAUUGAUUUACAGUACAAUCUGCAAAUGUAGUUAAAUUUAAUGCUUCCCAUCAUUGCCAUUGUUGCAAAUCAAAUCGUAUGUGCAGAUUUAUGGUACAACACAUGAUCGAAUUAGAUAGUUGUAUGAAUACAUGUUUGUUCUUUCCCUUUCAACUUGUUUGGAUCCUCACUUUUCUCAAACAAAAGAUUAGACUCUUAUGACUUCUUAGCAUAGGGCUUAGAAGGUUUAACCACUCGCAAAACCACUAAUAACAUCUCUCAAACCAUUCAUUGUGCAUAUUCAUGCCAUUUUAAUAUUGAACCUUAUAGGAAUCUAAGCUCAUCAAAGCGUAACUCCGACAAAAUAUACAUAGCAAAUCGACACUUAAUUUCGCAUGAUACUUUUUUUGAGGAAAAACAACGAAGAAAGCCAUUGGGUUACCAUCGUCAAGCGCUCUCAUUUGCCUUGAAAUGGGGGUACCAUAGACACAUAUCCAAACCAGACGCAACGACUCGUAUUCUCUGAAUGCAUUGGUUUAUCAAACACAAACACACAGCCCUAAGAUCAUGUAGUAAGAUUUGGAUUUUUCUUACGCAUGCAUACAGUACAAAUGUAAUAUAGUUAUUUGAAAAAAAUACUCCAGCUCAUCACUUGUAGCCAUGACGCCUUGUUAAAAUUAUUAAAAAACUGGAAUAACAGUAAAGAAAUUGGCAAAAAAUCAAACCUACUAGUCAUUGGUGACCUUCAUAUGAUAAGCAACCACCCAUACCGCAGCCUCUGACGCCUAUCCCAAAAAUAUGGACCUAUAAUAUUCAUUCCCACCGGCACCAAAACCACCAUAGUCGUCUCAUCCCUCCAAGCCGCAGAGCUAUUCUUGAAAACCCAUUACAACAUUUUCCUAGCCGCCCCCUUUACUGCAACAAACCUCAUCAAAAUGCCUAAUAACUGUUCCGGAUGGCACACACCAAAUUUUAUCAUGAGAAAAAAGCAACCCCAGACCCAAAUUAAGCAUUUCAUAAAUCCUAUUUACUGGAAAGAUCUUUUUUUUUUUUGAAGGGAGGUCACCAAUGCUAUCAUAGGGCAUGAGCAGAGAGCGGUUCCAAAACUGCAAACAAAAGCCCCCAAAAGAAAAAUCAAAAUCACCCACAUACCCAAUCGGAGGCUACAAAUUAAAAACAAAAACAAAACAAAAAGAAAAUUUGAACAGAAAAACCAUUUGUAAAUCCAAAGAAUUUCCAUGUCCAGUGCAUUCUUUCUAAUAAUUGACACAAAAGAAAUAAAUAUACAGCCCUAAACCCUAAAUCAGUGGAAGCAAACAGAGAAGGUCAGGUCCUCGAGAGAAAAAAAAAUGAAAACCGAAAGGAAAUUCGCUAUUUACAUUUAUACCAAAAUUAUGAACUUGAAUUUAAUCUUAUUUGAACACAUCCUUGAGCAAUCUUACCUCAAAGCACAUCACCCAGUUAAGUUCUAUAGCAUGUGUGGCCUGAUCAGCCAACUGCGCGUGCCCCACCGUCGAGAUUACCACGUCGACUUGCUCGAUCGCCUUCACCAAGCUCUCAUAAUCGUACAGAUCACCCUGUAAAUUAUAAAUAAUAAAAAAAACCACUCAAAUCAAGCAAAACCCAAUUGGCUAAUCGGAUCAAAAAGCUACAAAAUGCUGGAAAUUUUACAAACCAGGACAAAAUUGAAGCCCAGAUCCUUGAGGUUCUCGAGGAAUUUGGACUUUGCCGGGUUAUAGAGGGUAGUUCUCGGACCAGAAAGUAGGUGGGGUGGCCGGCCUUGGCGCUGGCCUAUGCGAUGAACUUUUCAGUGCCGCCAAUGAAGAGGAAUUUGGACUUGGAUGCCAUCGGGAAUGGGAUUGGGGGGAAUCAGAAUGGGAUGAGUUGGAGAGAGAUAGCGAGUGAUUCGAUUCGAAGUGGAGGAUGAAGGAAGAGGUGGAGGGUCAGUGAGGAGGAGCUUGAGCUCCAUUUGCAGUCGGAGGCUGAGAGAGCAAUGAAAAACGUAGUAGCAAUCCCAGAGGAGAUCGAAAUGAAAGCACACCUGGAGAGUUCGAGAGACAUCCACCGUCAACACGUGGAUAACAGCGGCAUACAUGAAAUAACAGAAGAUGAAAAAGGGCAAAAACGGAAGAACAUUGUAAAAGUAACAGUGUUUUGAGUCCAUAAGGACAUCAUGGGAAUUUACCUGAAAGUUUCUCUUUUAGUACGAGAGCUACAAGACUUACCAUAUUAUCUUAUUUUUCUCACCCACGUUAUAUUUUCAUCUAUCUUAAAAAGUUAAAAAAUUAAUGUUAUUUUCUCGCUCACUAUUAUUCCCAAAAUAACCUUUAAUAUAUAUGUACAUAUGAAAUUAUAAAAUUGUCUCUUAAAAAAUAUAAGAAAUAAUAUGUAAAUGAAAAUUACUAAAGUCUGCAAAUUCAAAUAGAAACGACAGAGGUAUCCAAAUUCAAAAUAUUUCGACAACGACAAAUUUAAAAAUACGAUAGGCAAAUUCAAAUGACCUACACACAAAAUUAUUCUUCUACCUUUUCAAUGGAAACAUAAUCUUCGACCUCUUCUGUUUAAGCUUCAUUUUCUACAUAUUCAAUGAAAAAGUCAUCUUCUAAGUCUAUUGCUAUUUUUUUUUUUUUUACUUUCUCUGAAUGAAAUGAGAUGAAAAUAUGAGUUAAGGUUUAAGGUAGACAAAUUGUCUCCCAUACCCAACUUGUUUUUUUUUUUUUUUUUAAAUUAAGCAAAACAAGAUAAUUAAUGUCCUUAUUAAUCUUUUUGUAAAUGGACAAAUUUGUAAUUAAAAAAUUCAUUAAAAGGUGAGUGGAAAAAUAAGAUAUUGAGGUAAGAAUAACAUCACUCUUUAGUGUAUAUAUAUAAUAUAAUAUAAUUUUACUGUCAGAAUCAUUGAAAAGUGAAGGAACAAAAGUUCAACAUUUUCGAUCCUAAUACGUUUGACUGAGUAGUCCGGAAAGUUACAUUUAAAUCUUGCAUACAUGGAUAUAAUGAAUGUUUCAAUGGUAAUAUCUUAUAUAAUAAUCGUAUCACUAAGUGGGACGUAACAUUAUAUCUGGACCCAUAUUCAUGCCCUUUUCUAUAGCUUUUAUUUGACAAAUAAAAAAUAAAAAAAAAUAAAAAAUAAAAAAACCUUCUACGAAGACAUGGUCGUAAUGGCAGCUACGUACUGAUCAAUAUUAAAUAGCAAGAAAAACAAGAUUUUCGUUGUCAAGGUUCAUUUACCCUUGACCCUUUUAUAGUUGACUUGGAAUUCAUACAGUAUAGUUUAAAUUCUAGCUUCUCUUUUUUUUGUGCAGCAAUGGAUACCAAACCAAUCUUAUUGUUCGAGUUCUCCGUUAUUUUAUUAUGUGCAUUUUGGAAGUCUCACAUCUCCCUUGCAGCUGAACACUAUCAGCGAAAACCAAUCUCUCUCGGGCGAUCAAACCAUUGUCUUUGCAGGUGGGAUGUUUGAGCUAGGUUUCUUCACUAGUACAAAAAAUACUUUGCGCGACGUAGGACCGUCGUCGCGCAAAGUCAAAAAUACGUCGCCCAAAAAUUAGCCAAACGAACCUUCGUCGCGCAAAGUAUUUAGGGUUUAGGGUUUAGGGUUUGCGCGACGUAGGUAGGCACUGCGUCGCGCAAAGUAUCUUUGCGCGACGCAGGAUCUACGUCGCGCAAAGCUACUUUGCGCGACGUAAUGCCUACCUACGUCGCGCAAAGUUUUAUUUAUUUAAUUUUUUUUUUGUCAUUUAUAUUUAUUUUUUUAAUUUUUAAUAAAUAUCAUAAUUACAUUCUAAAAAAUAAUUAAUAAACCAAGAAAAAGUAAAUAAUUAUAGAAUAUAUGAAAAUGUAUGUUUGUCCGAACAAAAAAAUAAAAAACUACAAGUCUUCUAAGUUUAAUACAUCAUGCUACUCGGUAUCGUCGGGGCAAAAUGGCUGGGAAGUCGAAGGUGGAGCAACAUUAGGUGCUGGCAUCGUCGGGAUUUGGAGGCCGGACAUCGCUAAGGCCUGAACAAUCAUAUUCAUCCUCUCGUCCUGGGCCCUAAUAUGGUCGCCCUGGGCCGCAACCUGACCUCUUAGGGUUGUCACUUCCUCCUUCAAGGAAUUGACCUCUCCUGUGGACAAUCUGGAAGAAGAGGCACCCGUUUCACGAAGAGGAAGGAUCAAAUUAGUUAAACCGUGGCAGUAUGUGUAUUUUGUGAGCAAAAAUGUACACAAAGAGGAAGAUUCACUGCGGUCCUUUUUUGGAUUUGCUGCUCAUUACAUAUUUUGUCCGCCUAAAAGGGCUUUAACUUUGAACAAAUUUUGGAGAACUCAAGUCCAAACCAUUUACCUCAGCAGUAUGGUCCUUCACAAUGUGCCUACAGUUAUAGUUCCCAUCAUCAGAGCCUUGCCAUAUGCGAACUGUCUGCAACAUUAAAGGGGAAAAAUGAUGAUACAACAUCAAAAGAUGGAGUACACUAGGUUGAAUAUCUGAUUGGUUACACCCUUACAACCUAUGCAAUAACAUCUAAAUUGCAUGCAUGUAAAGUUCUUUAUUGACUCCAAUUUAUCCUCUUUUUUUCCUGAUCUCCUUUUUGUGUUUGGGUCAGGGAGGUUGAUCACCACCCCCAGUUGCAUAAAAAGUAACUUUAGAAUAUAAAUUUAAAUCCGUGUAGAUCCACAUAGAUGUACAUAAAAAGUCCCAAGGUUAAACUUGUAACUGUGAGGUAGGCAGAGUUUAGCGGUGGCCAAGUUAAUAAUGAAUGACAAACAAAGCUAAUGACAACUCCAGUAAAUAGAGAAGAUAAAAUAGUAAUGAAGAUUACAGCAUUUGUAUCAACCCCUCCAGUUGCAAUGAGAUUCUGCGAGAAUAAAGCCAAAAAGUAAUACUUGAUCAGCAAAAUGGAAACAUAACUGAGUUCAAUGACAUAAAAUACACAGGACAGACACACAAGGAUUUAUGACUUUGUCCUUAAUCCAUAAUCCCGUAUAUACCAUGAAGACAAAAGAUCAGUGUAAAGUGUGGAUUAAGGUAGGAAAAGCAUGCAAAAGAUCUAAAUUCUCAUCAAAUACCAUUACGCAAAAGAACACUAAAACAAGAGAGCUUCAAGGCUCAAUAAAUUCUAGAUUUGUUCCUACUAAAUUCGUUUUCUUCAUUUCAAGACAUUUGGUUUAGGAUCAUCCCUAAACCUAAAACUGUAGAUAUAUGAACAUUAAAGAUCAAAAUGCACUUCUAAUAGUACAAAGGCAGUAUUGAAGAGCAAAAUCAUGCAACAUCCAGUACGAACCUAAGAGUCUUUCACUGGAGUCAAAUACCCAUAUGGAAGUGAUGCUUAAACAAAAUGAUAUAAUAGCAGAGGUAAACACAAUCUCAUACCUUGUUAGACUGAAUAUCAAUCGAUAAAAUUCCUGGUUUGCUUGUUCUAUGAAGAGAAUGACUAGAUAUCUGAGUAUACCUCUCCAACGCAUCAACUGGAGCUAAUGUUGGGGAUAUCUGAACACCAAAGCAACAUACAGAUAAAAGCAAUAACUAUCAGAACUUAUCAAAUAAAUUCUGUGAAAACAGCUGAACUUCACUAGCAGCUUUUCUCAAGAAAAGAUUAUGUGAUAAACCCAAUUCCCUGCACAAAACCAAAUAAAACCCAAUUCACUAAAACCAAUUCCUAAUGAGCAGCAAACCCAAUUCCCUGCACAAACGCAUUAACAUUAACCAUAUUUAAUGAAAGAUAAUGUGAUACUACAGAUGAUACACAUUGGCUAGUAGGAAUAGGUUUGAAAAAUCGAAAACCCAAAAAAAUCGAACCGAAGCCAAAGAAAAACGGAAUACCAAACCCACCCUUUGGUUAUGGAAAUCUCAACUCGGUUCAAAAGUCAUAGGAUGUAGUUAACUAUGAUUUACGGCUACUAAGUCAGGUUCAUUAGUUUUGACCUUAAAUAUUUCUUAGAUUCAUACAACUUAUAACUCAAAUGAACGCAUGAAAUUUCAACCAAUCAUCUAUAAACAUACAUAACACCAGCCAUCAAUCAUCAAUCUACAAAUGCAAUUCAAAUUUUAGGAAAACCCUAAAUGGUGGCAACAGAACAAUCAUCAAUCUACAAAUUCUAAUUUAAAAACCCUAAAAUCCCUACACCAGAAAUUCACAUUAAUAACAAAACCUUAAAUCAAAAUUACCUAAAUUUUAGAUGGAUGACAGCGGGGGUGUUGUCGAAGAGGAGAGAAUCGACGGCGGGGGUGAUGGGGUGAUGGCUGGUGAGCACUACGAGGAGGAGGACGAUUCAGAGUUGGAGAGUCGAGGGAAGGGAGUCGAGGGACUGAGAGUCUGAGAGUGAUUCUGGUACUCGGGUGGAAUUGGUUGAGGAGGAUAGUCGGCUGGAGUGAGAGAGAUGAGAGACCGAAAGGCUUUUGGUUUGGGAAGAGAGAUCGAGUGAGAGAGAUGAGAGAGUGGAAGGCUUUUGGUUUGGAAAAUUUGGGAUUUUUUUUUUAAAAAAAAGCGCCUAUUUUUCAUAAUUGCCCCGCCAAAAUAAUGACAAAUAGCUCGACGCAGGUAUACAUUUCGACGUCGCGCAAGAUUUUUUUUUUUUUUUUUCAAAUAUAAAUUUUACCGAAAAUUUACUUAAUAAAUAUAUAUACCUUUGAACUUGAUGGAAUACGCAUUGUACGAAACUAAUUUCAACAAUCCAACCGUCAAAAUUGUUUGUAUAUAUUCCGAUAUCGCAUACGCCAAAAAUUGGAAAAAAAAAACAUCCAAAUAUCAAGUAACAUGACAAAACCUUUUGACGGUUAUAAACGAAAAAUCACGAUUUAACGGUUAUUUUUAACUCCAAUUUGUUGAGUUUUUCCAACUAUACUCCUUUAGCCUAUAUGAAUACAACGAACCAAUUCGAUCGUCAAUUUAAAAUAUUUACACAAGCGGAUACCACAAAAUGUUAUGUUAAACUUAAUGAUAGUAUAAAUAAACUCCAAGUGUUAGGAAAUAUAUCGUUUUGAUGAAAUACGCAUUCUACGAAACUAAUUUCAACGAUCCAACCAUCAAAUUUGUUUGUAUAUAUUCCAAGAUCGUAUACGCCAAAACCUGGAAAAAAACAAACAUCCAGAUAUCAAGUAACGAGACAAAACCUUUCGACGGUUAUAAACGAAAAACACGAUUUAACGGUUAUUUUAACUCCGAUUUUGAUGAUUUUUUAGAGCUACACUCCUUGAGCCUAUAUGAAUACAACGAACCGAUUCGAUCCUCAAUUUAAAAUAUUUACACAAGCGGAUACCACAAAAUGUUAUGUGUAAACUUAAUGAUAGUAUAAAUAAACUCUAAGUGUUAGGGAAUCUAUCGUUUUAAUGAGAUACGCAUUGUACGAAACUAAUUUCAAUGAUCCAACCGUCAAACUUGUUUGUAUAUAUUCCGAUAUCGCAUACGCCAAAAAUUGAGAAAAACAAACAUUCAGAUAUUAAGUAACGGGACAAACCUUUUCGACGGUUAUAAACAAAAAAGCACGAUUUAACGGUAGUUUUAACUCCGAUUUUGAUGAUUUUUUAGAGCUACAUUCCUUGAGCCUAUAUGAAUACAACGAACCGAUUCGAUCCUCAAUUUAAAAUAUUUACACAAGCGGAUACCACAAAAUGUUAUGUUAAACUUAAUGAUAGUAUAAAUAAACUCCAAGUGUUAGGGAAUCUAUCGUUUUGAUGAAAUACGCAUUGUACGAAACUAAUUUCAACGAUCCAACCAUCAAACUUGUUUGUAUAUAUUCCGAGAUCGCAUACGCCAAAAAUUGAGAAAAAAAAACAUUCAGAUAUCAAGUAACGGGACAAACCUUUUCGACGGUUAUAAACAAAAAAGCAUGAUUUAACGGUAGUUUUAACUCCGAUUUUGAUGACUUUUUAGAGCUACACUCCUUGAGCCUAUAUGAAUACAACGAACCGAUUCGAUCCUCAAUUUAAAAUAUUUACACAAACGGAUACCACAAAAUGUUAUGUUAAACUUAAUGAUAGUAUAAAUAAACUCUAAGUGUUAGGGAAUCUAUCGUUUUAAUGGGAUACGCAUUGUACGAAACUAGUUUUAACGAUCCAACCGUCAAACUUAUUUGUACAUGCUUCGAGAUUGCGUCCGCCAAAAAUUGCAAAAAACAAACAUUCAGAGAUCAAGUAACGGGACAAAACUUUUCAACGGUUAUAAAUGAAAAAGCACAAUUUAACGGUAGUUUUAACUCUGAUUUUGAUGAUUUUUUAUAGCUACACUCCUUAAUCCUAUAUGAAUACAAUAAACUAAUUUGAUCAUCAAUUUAAAACAUUUACACAAGUGGAUACCACAAAAGAAAAAGGCAAUACAAGAACCCAAAAAAAAAAAAAAAAACUUUGCGCGACGUAGGUCCACCUGCGUCGCGCAAAGCUAUUAUGCGCGACGCAUGUGUACCUACGUCGCGCAAAGUUUUUUUUUUUUUUUUUUUUUUUUUUUUGCUUUUGCUUAUGAGUACAAAAUAAAUAAAUUAAAAUGUACUUACUAAAUAUAUAUACCAUUGAAUUUGAUGGGAAACGCAUUGUACGAAAUUAGUUUCAACGAGCCAAUGGUUCGGAUUUCGGGUUAAGAAAUCUGAAUGGAAUUUAGAUGGAGGAGAUCUCUGCAAUGUUACUGGUAUCAGAAUGUGUGUGUGUAUAUUGCAUUAUAAUAUAACGUUGAUGCAAGAAAUGGAAAAUUGAUACUUGAAGGGAGUUCUAAUGUAAGUCGUAUAUUAGAUUCUCAAAUCAAAGCAAAGCUGCUAAUCCAGGACUCCAUCCAACCUUUUGGGCAGAUUUGAAAGCAAGAGUUCCACCAAAAGUAAAAGUUUUGGCUUGGACUGGCUCACUGGAGGAUACAUGUGAUAUGAUCCAGGAAAUUGCCUUUUGUGUGUGUUUCACCUCACUGAUGCAUUUUGUGCAACAAAGAGGGCGAAAGGAGUGUGGAUCAUAUGUUUACAACUAUGUGGUGGAGAUUGUAUGGGGUUGACAAUGUAAAUUAGGUCGGAGUUCUGUUUCUUUGCUCCCUGAGAAACAAAGGUAAGGGUAAGAAAGAAAUGGUCUCCUGCAGUGCAUGGUGUUAGUAGUAAUUCAGAUGGAAGGCGGAUAUUUGAGCAAAGUGAAGGUGUGGAGUUGAGGAACUUUGGGAGAAAAUCAAAUUUUGGUUGUUACUUCGGGGCUUUGGUUGCUGGAGAGUUCAAAAAGUUGUCCCUUUUCUAGCAAUUAUUUGGACUGGGGAGAUCUUGUUGAUGAUUAGAAUUACGAAAUUCCUUUGUUGUUAUUCAUAGAUCCAAAAUAAAAACUAGUUGUGUUAACUAAUGUGGGAAUUGGGGAGAGCAAGACAUACAAAAUAAUAACAUUGUUUCUAACGAUUACAGAUUUAGGCAUUAUGGCUAUUCCUAGUAAUUCAAACUUCAAACCUGAUCUGGUAGACGAUUUUGAAGAGAGAGAUGGGCGAUGGAGGUAGUUGCUGCAACUGGGUAUGCAGUUUCUGCCUCCCAAACUGAUCAAAUGAAAAGAAAAAAAAGUUUGUGACUUUGCGCGACGCAUGUCCACCUACGUCGCGCAAAACAACUUUGCGCGACGUAGGUGGGCAUGCGUCGCGCAAAGGUGGGAAAAAGCGGUAAAUUCUAAGGGUUUGGCGCCAAAAGUUUGCGCGACGACGGACUACGUCGCGCAAAGCCGUUUUGCACGACGUAGGUGUACGUACGUCGCGCAAAGCCGUUUUGGGCGACGUAGUUCUUCGUCGCGCAAAGUAACGUCGCGCAAAGCUGUUUUGCACGACGUAGGGGUACGUACGUCGCGCAAAACGUCUUUGCGCGACGUAAUUUAAUGCGUCGCGCAAGUUUUCGUCGCGCAAACAUGUUUUUGUACUAGUGCUUCAAACCAGGUCAGCUUUCAAACUACUAUAUAGGUAUAUGGUACUCCAAGCAAGUAGCAUCUGAGAGCAAGUGGUAUCUGAGAGGACUGUUGUUUGGGUAGCAAAUAGGGAAAUACCAGUGAUAGGGAUUUUACCACGCACGUAACAGUUUUAAAAACUCAUAUAAUACUUGCAAAAAUGACAAAGAUAUUGUAGUAUAAAUAGUUUCCACAUGGAUUAUUAAAUAAUUCGAAACAAACCAAAUUUCAAUUCAUUAUUGUAAAACAAAAAUUGUGAUGAUUGAUUUUCAUGACCUAAUGUAAUAAAACGAAUUUAAUUAAUAAAAGUAAAUCAAUCUGCAAUAUUAAAAAUUGAAUUUUAACGAAAAGCUUAUUGUACAGUUCACUUUAACGAAAAAUCACAUUUUUACACUAAAAAGUCAAUCCUAAUACUAUUCACUUCACCAUUUAUUUUGUUAUUAUCGUUAAAACUCAAAGUUUUCAAGCUCUUUUUAUUAGUUUUCCUUAUUAAAAAUGAGAAAAAAUGAAAUAGUUUUGUAGAAAUCAAAUUAAGAAAGCAUUAAGGAUCCGCCAUCACAUCUAAACAUGCAUGACUCAUUAAGUUUUGUGAAACUUUUUAAAAAAAUCAUACAACCCUUAACACGUAGUAUUCAUCCUAAAUGCACCUGCACAUAUUAAUCACAAGAAAUUUUCGUCAAAAACUCAAGAUAAAAAAACAAUACAAACCGUGGGCCUCAAAAACUCAAAAUAAAAAACAAUCAUUUACUUUUUGUUUUCUUUCUUUUUCUAUUUCUUUUCUCUUUUUUUUUCCUGUUUUUUUCAUUCUUCCUCAUGGGGCUUUCAAAACACGCGCAAGUGCAAAUGGGAAGGGUUCAAAUUGAUUUCAGUAAGAUUGGUUUGUAGCAAUGAUUUUAAGAGAGGUGUUCCCGUCGAUUUAGCAGUAGAAGCAGCUAAUCGACAACUGGGUUGGUGUCGGUAUUGCAGCAACAAUGAUUCGAUGUCGGUUCGUGAGCUACAAGGCACGCGAGCUUCGAUUUGGGUGCGAUGCAGCAGUGGAUCAUGAUAGAUACGGAUCGGUGCGGUGGACUCGGGUCAGCAACGACGGCGUCGCUCGCUGGUCGGACGGCGUAGCACAACUGGUGCGCGACUAGGAGUUUUGUUCUGCGCAUAGGGAACGGCUUUUGGUUUUUUUCUUAACCUAGGCUCUGGUGCCAAGAAGAGAAUGCUUUGAAUGAUGUGUUUAUCUUCUCAGGAAAAGGUAGAAUAUACAAUCUUAAUUCUAACUAAAUAGGGAAGAAUAAUUACAGAAGAUUACAAAGAUAUUUCUCUCAUAUUACUCAUAUUACACGGGGAUCCAUCUUAAAGAGGAAAUUCUAAAUUAUAGGAAUUAUAAGUCAACAAACAAACCAACGUAAGAGUGUGGAUCAACCGACGAAUGCACCAUUCUAACAACGUUAAUAUCAUCAAUUUGAGUCUAAUUACCAUCAAUGUAAGAGUCAGUUUGAUUACAAUUAGCAUCAGUAAGGACAUCAGUUUAAUCUCGAACAAAGCUCCACUGCCAGUUUCGGCAUUAUUGAUCUCCACAACCUUGAAACCCAUGAUUGUGCUGAUUCUUUAUCGGGACGAGCCCAAAAACACAAACAGAAAAAGAAAAAGAAAAAAGAAAAUCAGUUAAACUUGUUUUUGAGAGAGACAACAUGAGUAUGGUAUAUAUACGGAGGACGUACAUAAAAAAUGCGUCCGUUUUCGACGAAUUCAGACAUCGGAAAGCGUCCUCCCUCUGACGCCGCCGUCGCCGUCAAGUGUUGCAGUUUAGCCUCGCUUUACUCCACGGCUUAUCUGUGUCAAAUCGACCGCUACAUCUCCCACAAAAACCCUAAAUCUUUUCAUCAAUUUUCAGUAGCGUACGAUCCGAUGCGCCUCGACACACCUUAAGCCUGUUUUUGAACAAUCUCCGAAAACAGAGCUAGUCAUGGAGGCGCAGAUCCUACUGCGGUGUCAAACGUGGGGGUUUUUCUCUUCUCAUAGUUUUGCCACUAAAAACGUCCACUAAAUUUUCAGAAUUUGGAUUUUUUUUUUUUUUAUGUAUUUUGAUAUUGUUUUGUGAAUUUUUGGCAAUGAAUACAAAUUAUCCGCGCUUCUGAGAGCAAUCGAUGAAGUAGAAUGUGAUAAUCAAUGGUUGAAUUUCUUGAUAUGAGCCAUUUAAGUUUUUGAUUUGCUGAUUUGGGUCGGUGACAUUUUUGGGUUUUGUUGAUUAAUGUUGGCGGUGAUGACUAAAUUUUACAGCUUUAUGCCAGUUCUGCUUCAGAAAAUUCGUGAUUGAGAGAGCUGUUUCAUACUCUGAGCCUUCUGUUUAUUAAUUUGAUUUUGUUUUUCUUUAGUGUUAUGGAUUUCUGUGUUUUUGGUGGUGCCGAUGACGAUUCAAUCCGCUUGUUCGAGGUGCAGUGGAAUUGAGACCCUGUUUACAGGGAGAACCCCUCAGUGAAACUGCGUUCAUAUGAAUUCAAUGGAUUUAGCUGAGGUUUUAAUCUUACUUACCCUCCUAGUAAAAUGUUUUUGUGUUACUUGUUUGGUUUGUUGUCUGUCUAAGAUUAGAUUUGUUGUUUGGUAUGUUAUUAAUUGCUUGUGAUUGGUGUGUUAAAUUUUGGUGAUAUCUUCUUGUCCUUUGGCCUGUGAUGAUUCAAUCCGCUUUUUUGAGGUGUAGUGGAGCUGAGACCUUGUUUACAAGGAGAACCCCUCGGCGAAGCUACAUUGCAUAUGACAUUAAUGGAUUUAACUGAGGUUUUAAGUCUUCAUCAGCAUCAAAAUCCAUUGUUUUUGUCCUAAUUGCUUGUGUUGUUGAAUAUGGUUUAUUAUUUUGUUCGGAUUAAGUAAUGUUUAGGCGUCAAUGAUGUUACAAUCCAACGUGUUUGAGGCGUAGCGGAAGCGAGAACUUGCAUUUGUGCAGGUAGAACCUACUCAUGGAAACUACGAUCCCUUGACAGAAACAAUGUAGCUGAGGCAUUGCAGUCAUGUGGUUUUGUUGUGUAUUGUGUUUAAAUGUUGGUUUUGAGUUUCAACUAUACCCUUAUGGGUCUGAAAUAACUCAUAAAUUAGAGUGUUGUCAUCAGCUUCAUCCUGUGUUACUGGUCAAGACUGGAGUUAAACAACAACACUACAUCUAAUUGCACUAAUUUUGUUUCAUUUAUUUUGUGAUUUGUGUUAAAUUUUAUCUAAUUUUUUGUUGGAAUCGACUCUUGUGAUGAAUUGAUAUGUAUGCUCAAUAGCUGCUGCUGGAUACUUCUAUUAACUGAAUUGGGGUUAAGUAAUUAAUAUAGUGAUAAUAAUUUCUAAAACCUACAGGCCUCACCCUGUCUCCAUGGGGGAGUACCCUAAAAAAAGGAACCCUUCCUCUCCCAGCCGUUUUCAGGGUCGUCCGUGAAUUCUUUGUCAAUGGUUUUGGUUUUUGAAUUGCCCGCUAAAUGGACUCCUUCCUAUCUGUUGUUCCCAGCUGAUCUUUUUGUUGUUGGAGGAUUUAGAUUUUGUAGUGAGUAAUUAGUUUGCAGGAGUACCAAGUGGUACAAACAAGCAUGGAAACAAGAGGAUGAUUGGUGGAGAAAAUGGCGCGUGGAAAUCAUGACCUUGGAUUCGUCAUGUGUGGAUGGGUUUAUGUUGUACCGUCUUUUGAUUGGAAUUCAGACCAAAAAACAGACGUGUGGUAAAUUGGAAUUUGAAAAUUAUCAACGUAUCUCUGUUUUUGUAUCAAUUUUUGUUGGUAAAACUUGUAUGGAUUGGAAAAGAUUAUGAUAAUUUGUAUCGAGCAUGAGUGCUUAGUUUGGUACAUUAGCCUGCAGUCGACGCAAUCUAACUUGAACAUGUCCUUAUUGUAACACAUACCUCCAUCUCUUCUCGGGUUUUGGAUAUGUGAUGCCUCCAGGGUUUGCACAUUGUAUACAGUGGAGUAUUGAUGAAUUUGAACAGAAGCGUAAUACUAGGAGAAGCUUUUGACAGAGGAAGGACAAUGUACAAGCUAGGAACUGCGUGUGAUGGGUUGAACAGUUGACUUAAUGCAUAGAAUUUUCUACAAAGUACAAAGUCUAAUGUGCCGGCUAGGAACUGUCUGAUGGGUUGAAUAGUUGACUUAAGGGCAUAUAGGUUAAGUUCCAGUAACAUCCAUACGGUAAAUCAUUGCCUGCCUGCUGAAUUCUUUGUACAGCCAUGGAUACCAAACCAAACUCAAAGUUCGUGUUCUCCGUUAUUUUAGUGUGUGUAUUUCUCGAGUCCCAUGUUUCCCUAGCAGCUGACACUAUCAGUGAAAACCAAUCUCUCUCCGGCGAUCAAACCAUUGCUUCUGCUGGUGGGAUGUUUGAGCUAGGUUUCUUCAAACCAGGUCAGCUUUCAAACUACUAUAUAGGCAUAUGGUACUCCAAGCAAGUAGUAUCUAAGAUGACUGUUGUUUGGGUAGCAAAUAGGGAAAUACCAGUUUCUGAUAUAUUUUCUUCGGCAUUGAGCAUCUUAGAUGGUAACUUAGUUCUGUUUGACGAGUCCAAAACCCCGGUUUGGUCAACAAAUUUAAACUCCACCACCAAUUCUGGUUCUGUACAAGCAGUUCUUUUGGACAGCGGAAACCUUGUCCUGAAAGCGGGCUCUAGUAAUAAUACACUAGAGCCUUUAUGGCAAAGCUUUGAUCAUCCAACUGAUACUUUGCUACCAGGAGGUAAAUUUGGAUUCAACAAAAUUACAAAUCAUUCCCAAAUUCUGACUUCAUGGAAGAAUUUGGAGGAUCCUGCACCAGGUCUUUACUCUCUUCACCUAGCCCCAGAUGAAGGCGAUUCAUGUAUCUAUUUGUGGAAUAGGUCUAGACAGUAUUGGACCAGCGGACCAUGGAAUGAAAGUUUGCGUAAUUUCAACAUGGUUCCUGAAUUGAGGCUAUUUAAUGACUUCAAUUAUAGUUCUGUUAGGAAUGAGAACGAAAGUUAUCUCACAUAUUCUAUUAACAAUCCUAAAAUUGUAACUCGAAGCUUGAUGACUGCCUCGGGACAGGUUCAGCAACUAACAUGGUUGGAGGCUUCCAAGCAGUGGAAUGUGUUUUGGUCUCAACCAAGACAGUGUGAUGUUUAUGCUUUUUGUGGGGCUUUCUCCAGUUGCAAACCUACAUCCUUGAACUACUGCAAAUGUUUGAAGGGCUUUGAGCCAAACCGGCAGAGUGAUUGGGACUUGCAGAUUUAUUCUGGUGGAUGUUCAAGAAGAACCAGUGUGAAGUGUGGGAAUGCUACGGGAGACGGGUUUCUAGAAAAAAAUAGCAAGUCCUUGCUUGAAAAUAGCCAAAAUGAACGCGCUCUUAGUUUUGAAAGUUGUAGAUCAGCUUGCUUAAAUGAAUGCCAGUGCACUGCUUAUGUUUAUGACAGCAGCAAUGGAUGUUCAAUAUGGCAUGGAGAUGUCUUGAAUCUGCAAGAAUUUGAAGCAAAUGAUGGUGAUGGAAGAAUUUUAUACAUCAGAGCUGCAGCUUCCGACAUUGAGAAAAAACGUAAUAAGAGAAUGAUUAUUCAUGUCUUACUUGGAGCCGUUAAUCUUAAUGUUAUCCUGAUGAUCGUUUUCUUCUCUUUGCAGGUGUAAUUAAGUUGUCCCCUUUGAUUGCAAUAGUCUCAACAAUCACAGGUUUGCUUGUUGUCAUUUUUGGCUAUUUCUUAUGGAAGAAAACAUUGGGAACAAAAAGUAAAGUUGCGGCUGGAGGUGAAAUGAAUGAUGCAGAACUGCCGAUCUUUGGUUUAAGGGCUAUAAUAGCAGCUACAAACAACUUCGCUGAAGCUAAUAAACUCGGAGAGGGAGGAUUUGGCCCUGUCUACAAGGUGACACUUCCACUGUGUAUUCUAAAUACUAAUACAUUUGUCUCCUCAUGCACACACCUUGUUUAUUUAUGACAUUUGGAUUGAAUAAUUCCAAGGAGAUGAAUCACGGGACAAAGUACACAUGGGUGUGCAGAAGGAGAAAAAAGGGUGUCUGAAAAUAAUUUCUCCUUUCAUAAACAUGACCGUUCUUUUGUACUUCUCUAACAAUAUUUUCUCUUGAGCGAUUUUCUUCCUCUAUACAGGGAAUUUUGGCUGAAAAUCAAGAAGUAGCCAUAAAAAGGUUAUCAAAAAAGUCAGGCCAAGGACACCAGGAGUUCAUGAAUGAGUUAAAACUUAUUGCCAAGCUCCAGCAUACCAAUCUCGUUAGGCUCCUGGGUUGCUGUAUUGAAGACGAGGAAAUGAUAUUGAUCUACGAGUACAUGCCCAAUCGGAGCUUGGACAAACUUUUGUUUGGUAUAUACAUGCUAAUGACUUAUUAAUUCUUUGUUUCUGCACAUUGUUUUCCUUGUGUGCAAAUGCCAUGUACUGCAAGUUCAAAUGCACUGUGUCCAAAUAUUUUAUCUAAAAUGAAAAGAAAAACACUUGCUCAUCUUUCUUCAUGGUUUGUCCAAUCAGAUGCACCUGAAAAAAGAGAAUUAGAUUGGGGAAGACGUUUUCGAAUUAUAGAAGGCAUUGCUCAAGGAGUACUUUAUAUCCACAAGUACUCGAGAUUGAAAAUCAUCCACAGGGACCUAAAAACAAGUAACAUAUUGUUGGAUGGAGUCUUGAACCCCAAAAUUUCAGACUUUGGAAUGGCAAGGAUUUUCGGGAUAAAUCAGACUGAAGCGAAUACCAAUAGGGUUGUUGGCACAUAGUAAGUCUGCAUAUAUCUGGUACAUGUUUUCAUUGAAGUAAUGUUCUAUUGCUUACUUCUCUACAUAUUGUCAAUUCAUGUGCAGCGGCUACAUGUCACCCGAGUAUGCGAGAUAUGGUCAUUUCUCUGAGAAAUUAGAUGUAUUCAGCUUCGGAGUGGUGUUGUUGGAGAUUGUCAGCGGAAAGAAGAAUGCUGCUUUUUAUCUCUUUGAACAUUCACCAACUCUUGCUGGAUGGGUAAGUGCUGAAAAACUAUUCCAACUCAUGAUCAUUCUGUUUUUAAGCCUUUCAAAUUCACAAAUGACCAUGCGUUCAACAUUUUAAUUAGGCAUGGGACUUGUGGAAAGACGGAAGAGGAAUGGAGGUGAUUGAUGAAUCGGUAAGGGAAACAUGUCGGCUCGAUGAAGCUUUGAAGUGUAUCCAUGUAGGGUUUUUGUGUGUUCAAGAAGCUCCAGCUGAUCGACCAACAAUGUCUUUAGUAAUUCGUAUGCUGCAGGGCAAUGAAUCUACAUCUCUUCCACCUUUCAAAGAACCUGCCUUUUCAACACACAGAAAUUCCAGUCCUGUUUGUUCUUCUCAAACACCUACCAUUUUUUCCCACAACACAGUCACCAUGAGUUUGCCAGAAGGUCGAUAGGCGUUGGAAGAGCGGUGACUGGCAAGCAGUUGAGAAAAUAGUAUAGUAUAUUAGAAUAAACACCCCGACAACUAGCUGUUUUAUACAACACUUAAAGGGUUCAAUAUGUAUUUUCUAAAAUGUAAAGUCUAAUAUGCCAGCUAAGGAACUGUAUGUGAUGGGUUGAAUAGUUGACUUAAGGGCUUAUAGGUUAAGUUCCAGUAACUUGCAUACGUUAAAUCUUUGCCUGCCUGCUGAAUUCUUUGUGCAGCCAUGAAUACCAAACCAAACUCAAAGUCCGUGUUCUCCGUUAUUUUAUUAUGUGCAUUUCUCGAGUCCCAUGUUUCCUUUGCAGCUGACACCAUUAGCGAAAACCAAUCUCUCUCUAGGCAAUCAAACCAUUGUUUCUGCAGGUGGGAUGUUUGAGCUAGGUUUCUUCAAACCAGGUCAGCUUUCAAACUACCAUAUAGGCAUAUGGUACUCCAAGCAAGUAGUAUCCGAGAUGACCGUUGUUUGGGUAGCAAAUAGGGAAAUACCUUGGUAUCUGAUAGAUUUUCUUCUGUGUUGACCAUCUUAGAUGGUAAUUUAGUUCUCCGGAACAUGUCCAAAAACCCGGUUUGGUCAACAGAUUUAAACUCCACCACCAGUUCUGGUUCUGUACAAGCAGUUCUUUUGGAUAGCGGAAACCUUGUCUUCAGAGCCGGCUCUAGUAAUAAUACGUCAGAGCCUUUAUGGCAAAGCUUUGAUCAUCCAACCCAUACUUGGCUACCAGGAGGUAGACUCGGAUUCAACAAAAUUACCGAUCAUGCCCAAAUUCUCACUUCAUGGAAGAAUUUGGAGGAUCCUGCGCCAGGUCUUUACUCUCUUAAGCUAUCUCUGGAUGAAAGCAAUUCAUAUAUCUUACUGUGGAAUAGGUCUAAACAGUAUUGGACCAGCGGAUCAUGGGAUGAAAGUUCACAUAUUUUCAACGCUGAUUCCUGAAAUGAGGCUAAAUUAUAUCUUCAAUUAUAGUUAUGUUACGAAUGAGAACGAAAGUUAUUUCACAUAUUCUCCUAAGAAUCCUAAAAUUGUAUCUCGAUACUUGCUGUCUGCCUCGGGACAGAUUCAGCUAACUAACAUGGAUUGGAGAAUUUCCAAGCAGUGGGAAUUUGUUUUGGUCUCAACCAAGACAGUGUGAUGUUUAUGCUUUUUGUGGGGCUUUCUCCAGUUGCAAACCCACAUCCUUGAACUACUGCAAAUGUUUGAAGGGCUUUGAGCCAAACCAGCAGAGUGAUUGGGACUUGCAGAUUUAUUCUGGUGGAUGUUCAAGAAGAACCAGUGUGAAGUGUGGGAAUGCCACUCGGGAGACGGGUUUCUAGAAGUAAAUAGCGGGUCAUUCCCUGAUAAUAGACAAUAUGAAGGUUUUCUAAGUAUCGAAAGUUGUAGAUCAGCCUGCUUAAAUGAAUGCCAGUGCACUGCUUAUGGCUAUGACAAUGGAUGUUCAAUCUGGCAUGGAGAUGUCUUGAAUCUGCAUGAAGUUGAAGCAAAUGAAGGUGAUGGAAGAACUCUAUACAUCAGAGCCGCAGCUUCUGACAUCAAGGAAAAACGUAAUAAUAGUAAUAAUAGAAUGAUUAUUCGUGUCGCAAUUAGUGAUCAUUAUUUUGGCGCCAUUAUCUUUAUGUUGUCAACAAAAUCUUCUUCUUCUCUUUGCAGGUGUAAUUAAGCCGUCCCCUUUGAUUGCAAUAGUCUCAACAAUCACUGGUUUAAUUGUUGUCAUUUUUGGCUAUUUCUUAUGGAAGAAAACUACGGGAAAGAAAAGGUACUGCUACCACCGAUCUCAUCUCUCUCUCUGUCUUUUUCUUUCAAACGUGUUCUAACACUAUGACUAAAACAGAGAGCAUAAGAAGAACCAUAAUGAGAGUAAAAGUAAAUUUGAUGUUGGAGGUGGAAAGGAUGAUGCAGAACUACCGAUCUUCGGUUUACGGGCUAUAGUAGCUGCUACAAACAACUUUGCUGAAGCUAAUAAACUCGGGGAGGGAGGAUUUGGCCCUGUUUACAAGGUGACACUUCCACCAUGUGCUUUAAAUACAAGUACAUUUUUCUUCUCCUGAACACCUUUGUUUAUUUCUGACCUAAACAAAUAUCCAAGGAGAAUUAAGGGACAAAAAUAAAUAGGAGUGUGCAGGAAAAAAAAAAGCUGUGCAAAAAUCAUUCCCCCUUUCGAAAAUAUGAUUUUUUUUACUUUGAACUUCAAAAAAUGUUUUCUCUUGUGCGCUUUUCUUCCUCUGUACAGGGAAUUCUGGCUGAAAAUCAAGAAGUAGCCAUUAAAAGGUUAUCAAAAAGGUCAGGCCAAGGACACGAGGAGUUCAUGAAUGAGUUAAAACUUAUUGCCAAGCUCCAACAUACCGGUCUCGUUAGGCUCUUGGGUUGCUGUCUUGAAGAUGAGGAAAUGAUAUUGAUCUACGAGUACAUGCCCAAUCGGAGCUUAGACAAACUUUUAUUUGGUAAAUACAAGCUUAUGACUUAUUAAUUCUUUGUUUCUGCAAAUUAUUUUCCUUGUGUGCAAAUGUCAUCUACUGCAAGAUGCACAUUAUGCACUGUGUCCAACAUUUUAUCUAAAAUGAAAAGAAAAACACUUGCUCAUCUUUCUUCGUGGUUUGUCCAAUCAGAUGCAUCUGAAAAAAUUGAACUAAAUUGGGGAAGACGUUUUCGAAUUAUAGAAGGCAUUGCUCAAGGAGUACUUUAUAUCCACAAGUACUCGAGAUUGAAAAUCAUCCACAGGGACCUAAAAGCAAGUAACAUAUUGUUGGAUGGAGACUUGAAUCCCAAAAUUUCAGACUUUGGAAUGGCAAGGAUUUUCGGGAUAAAUCAGAUUGAAGCAAAUACAAAUAGGGUUGUUGGCACAUAGUAAGUCUACAUAUAUCUGGCACAUGUUUUCAUUAUAGUAAUGUUCUAUUGCUUACUUCUCUACACACUGUCAAUUCAUUCUCAGCGGCUACAUGUCACCCGAGUAUGCGAGAUAUGGUCAUUUCUCAGAGAAAUUAGAUGUAUUCAGCUUUGGAGUGUUGUUGUUGGAGAUUGUAAGCGGAAAGAAGAAUACUGCUUUUUACUGCUUUGAACAUUCACCAACUCUUGCUGGAUGGGUAAGUACUGAAAAAUUAUUCUAAAACUCAUGAUCAUCCUGUCUUUAAGCCUUCCAAAUUCACAAAUGACCGUAAAUUCAACAUUUUAAUCAGGCAUGGGAGUUGUGGAAAGAAGAAAGAGGAAUGGAGGUGAUUGAUGAAUCAAUAAGGGAAACAUGCCAGCUGGAUGAAGCUUUUAGGUGUAUCCAUGUAGGGUUUUUAUGUGUUCAAGAAGCUCCAGCUGAUCGACCAACAAUGUCUUCGGUAAUUCGUAUGUUGCAGGGCAAUGAAUCUACAUCUCUUCCACCUUCCAAAGAACCUGCCUUUUCAACACACGGAAAUUCCAAUCUUGUUCGCUCUUCUGAAAUGCCUACCAUUUUUUCUCACAACUCAGUCACCAUGAGUUUGCCAGAAGGGCGAUAGGAGUUGAAAGAGUAGUGACUAGCAAGAGUUGAGAAAAUAGUAUAGUAUAUUAGAAUAAACACCGCGAACCAGAGCUAUUUGUGUGUUUUAUGGUUUUUUGCCUAUCCAAACUAAACUUACAAUAGCAGUAGAUUAAAUUUAUGUUAAGUAUUUUUCAGCUGCAAAUGCAGGCGUAACCGUACUUCAAUAUAUGGUCCGACCGCAUUCCUUGGCACAACCAUAUUUAUAUUAGUUUAAAAUGGAAUGUCACUUGUAUCAAAAGAAUAAAGAUGAGAUUUUUUUACACCUUCUAACUUUCAGAAGACAAAAACUAAAAAACAAGGGUAUGGAACAAAGGAUUUUACAUUACUAUAUCCAUAAUUGAUAUCAUGGAUUUUCCUAGGGUUGGAAUGGAAAAGUUGACAAUCAUCAUAUAGAAUCUACCGAAUGGCAAGUUGAUCAAUUUUUUAUCGAUGAGGAUUUGAACUUGAUGCCUCCUUUAUUAUUAGAAAAUAUCACUAAACACUUUAUGCUCCCGAUCAUGUUAAACUUUUAAGUUUUUUUUACAAGAGGAUUGGGCUGGUGAUGAUGGGCUUUCCGCCAGAAGAGGGGUUGCUGGCCUGCAAGAAUAAUUGGAUUCGAAUCCUCACAUUCCCCCCUGUCGAGCUGGAACACCGUUUGGUACGUGAGACGGGACGGGACGGAACGGGACGAGCCGUUCCGUCCCACGUUUGGUGCGUCUAAAAACUGUGGAACGGGUUGUCCCAUGGAAUGAAAUUUGGCUGAUUUUUUGUUCCACCUCUUCCCCCUGGAACGACCCGUUCCACAUCUGUGGAACACAAAUUUAUAAACAUUUUAUGACAAAAUUUCUUCUUAUCUUUUUCAAUAUUUACAUCAUUCGUUCCAUCCUGUUCCGUCUCGUCCCAUCCCGUCCUAUUCCGUUCCGUCCCAUCCCGUUUGCGUACCAAACGGUACCUCAAUGCACCAUGCAGAUCAAGUCAAUAAUCUCUUAUAUAUCUCUUAUAUAUAAAGCCAGCAUGCCAAUUUGGUGUAAUUGGCUUCGACAAAAAUAUUUGGACCAUAAUGCCUCUAGGCCAAAAACAAAUCAAAACAGCAAAAAUGAUUCCAUAAAAUAAUCCAAGGGUAAUUUUGUAAAUUUAGUUUUUAAUAAACUAAUGCCCUGCCUCUUCUACACUCUUCCAAACCGUUCUUUUCUCAGUUGCAUUCAUACCUCUUCGACCUAUUUUGGGAUUAGGUUUCUCUCAAACCCUAAUUUUUCUCUCCUUCUGAUCUCAUCUCUCUGCUCGCGCCGAUCAGUCGAACACCGUCCAGGAAUGCGUCUCCGAAUUCAUUAGCUUCGUCACCAGCGAGUAAUUUUCACCUCUCUCUCUAUCUCUCUUUCUGUCUCUACUGUUAUUGACUUUGCUUUUCAAUCGGAAUUUUUUGUGUUGAUUUUGAAUUGGGGUUUUUUGGGGUGUCUAGGGCCAGCGAUAAGUGCCAGAAGGAGAAGCGAAGGACCAUCAAAGGCGACGGUUUGUUGUGGGCGAUGGCCACGUUAGGGCUUGAGGACUAUAUCGAGCCCCUCAGGAUUUACUUAGCUAGGUACAUUGAGGUAUUAUUCUUUAACUUUUGCCUUUUAUUCCUCCUUUUCCUUUUACUUUCAAUUCAGUUUACAUUUUAGCAUUUUUCAAAUGGAAAUUUACAGUUUGGUUGUACCAUUUUCUGGGGUUUUUUUUUUUAACUUUCCGUUUUUAAUUUAUUCAAUGGUGUUUUCCUUAUCAGUUCAAUCUAACACUAUCGUCAAAUCUCUUUCUGAACGCUGCUACAGAUGCUUGAUUUCUUCAAGUCGGCAACGAUUGCAGAGGUAAGCUCUCUGAUGAAAUCAUCUACUUUACACUUUAUUUCUUUUUACAUAUGGCUAAAUUUUUUUUUCAUGGAUUUAUGUAUUUGUUUCCUGUGAAUUCGAAUUCAAAUUUGAUGAAUUUUUAUUUGCGUGUUUGUGUUGCUUCUGUUCUUUAGCUACAAGCAAAUUAUCUGCAUAUAAUUAGUAUUUAGGAUCUAAUUUUUUUGGCUUUUCAGGAGCAGCGGCAGGAGGUACCUUUUCUUUUUUCUAAUUUUUAUCCAAGAUAUGAAAAUAUUGUAUGAAUGUUAUGUACGAUUAUCACCAAAUGUAUAUAUCUUUCUUGGAAUUCUUGAGAAAAUCCAAGCUGAAUUCCAUUCUGAUUGAAAGAAAUUUAAUACCACAAAGCUUGGCUCCCGUUCUGAUUUGAAGAAAUUCUUUUCUUGGAUUAAACUACUAGAUUAAUUGUAUUUUGUGGGUUUAAUUAGGGAUGUUUUUAGGGUCUUUUUUUAAGAAUAUAUUGAAUCAGUUUAUUUAUUAUUUACAUUAUUCCAUUGUGAAUGUUUGAAGGUGAUCUGAAUUCACCUGUUGUGAUCACAGUUUGUGAUUUUGCACUCCCUGAUGGCAUGUCACUACUCGAAGCUAGAGAGACUUCUUCAGCCCUUGGUUAGUUAAAGCCUACAUUAGAGUGAAUAUCAUGGAUUCUCGUAUUUAGUAAUAACUUGAUUUAUGCAACCCUCAAGUUUAUUUAGCCAAUAUAAAUUGAACUUUUUCCUGCUUUAAUUUAGGGGCAGUUGCUAUUUCAUCCCACAGAUGGAGACGCUAUUGAUAUUGAGUAAUCUUCGAAGAAAGUCACCUCUUCAGAGAAGUAAUCUGGUAGCAUUUGUUAAGCAAUUUCCAAGGUACGGACUUCACCAAUCCCAGGUUUUAGUUUGUUUCUAAUUUAUUGAGUUUUUAGGGGCAUAUUCUGUAAUUAAAGGGGAAUCAGGGGUCCAAUUUGGUUUCGAAAUCUUGAAUCUGAUCAAAUGAAAGAAUCAAAAUUCAAUUCAAAGAUAAUAUGCCACCAAUCAUAGGACUCUGACUUCCAACUCUGCUGCUGCACUGAAGCAUCAUACUUUUCUUCAUACGUUGGAAACAUAUGCUUUUUUUGUUUGUUUUUUUUUUUACUGAUAUUAGUAGCUUUUUAGGUAGCCGACCCCACUUAGUGGGAAAAGGCUUUGUUGUUGUUGUUGUUAUUAGUAGCUUUUUAGGGUUUAACUAUUGGAUUUCACAGAUUCAUUAUAGACACAUUAAAUAGUUACAUUUUUAAUUCGUAUUUCAUAACUUGGUUGCUUGAUUCUAAUGUUGAUUCGUUACAACAGAAGUGAACUUAUUCUACUUUAAGCAUGGAAUUUUUUCUUUUGUUUUUAUUGUUGUUGCCUUGAUUGUGGUUAUCUGAUUGAUUAAUACUCCAUGAUAUAUUGAGCAAUAUCGUGCGGCUCAAGAAUUUCGUAUGUGUUUACGCGUAUUUUUGUACUCUGAAUAAUUCUAAUCAAAUUCCAUUGCUCCUAAGCUAAGGUCAGAAUUUGUAGCAUAUACUUACCAAUUAUCCAAAGCUGGAUAUUAAGGUCUUUAAGAUUAAUCUCUCUUUGUAUGUGUAGCAUCUGCUUGGAAAAGGUUUCAACUUUAUUUUUUAUUUGUUAGAUGAUCAAUUGAUGUAUUUUAUGAAAGUUGAUCUGCAAGAUGUAAAGAUGAUUUCUUUGUUUAUGUAUACUGUUUAAUUAUAUCAAUGGAAAUUGGUGCUGCUCAUCCCCACAAACAUUUUGUACAUGUGUGGCAUUAAUAUAUUUUGUUUUUUGAUUGAAUUUGUUUUCAUUCAAUGGGGUUAGUGAGCUAAACAGCAAGUCGCUUUUUAAUCGUGUUUAAAUUGAAGUCCUAAUUUCGUUGGUUUGUUCAUAAUUAGUGUGUUAUGUUGUUUUCCUGUGUGUUUUAUGUGUUUGUUAAUUUAUGGGAGUCUUCACAAGAAAUGUUAUGUACAAAAAUAUUUUGCUUCCAUCAAAAUGUGUGAUAAGGUUACAUUCAUUCUUUUAAUGUUUAAUUGACUUUUCAAAUCCACGUAGAUAAAUACAUUUAAAUUGUAUAAGUCGAGCAUAGAAUGCUGUAAUUAUAAAAGGGCCAUCCACACGCGCGUGAGCGUGUGCAGGGAGGCUAGUCUAUAUAUAAAGCCAGCAGCGGGAUGAACAGUAUUUGGUGUCAUUGUCUUUGACAAAAAUUCUACAUCAAAUAAUCCAGGGACAUUUUCGUCAUGUAAACAGUAUUUAAUUAUAAUUUGGGGUUAAUGUCUGUUAGGAUCAUUGGAAUACCCUCGAGGUCAAUUGGGUUACCCUCCUUUUCUUCUGCUUCAUUUCCUUUGCUCCGUUUGUAUCGGCCUCCUCUGCCUCUGUUUCUUCUGGUUCCGCUGCUGAUGCUGCUUCUUCUUCAUCUGCUGCAUGCAGAUAUUCUUCUCCUCCUUAAUUCAUCCACUCGAAAAACUUCAUUUCAUCAUAAACUUUUUCAUACGGCAACGAAAUCGCACAAGGUCGGAGCCUAUAGAUUCGUAUCCGAAUUUUCUUCCAUCUGAUAUGAUACCCACACCUCAAAAUCAACUGUGCUCAAAGAUGGAGACUAGAACCGUGACGGUUUUUUGGCGGAGUUUUGCUGAUUCCGCCCAAUCCCGCAUGAAUUUGGUCUCGGCCCAAGAGAGAAAGUUGAUCACUCUCCUGACGAUCUUUCUACCUAUACUUGAGUUUGUUGAGUGAAUUGAUUUUUUUUUUAAGUUUUUGGUUUGUGGGUUUUUAAUUUUUUUUUUUUUGUGCAGGUAAAGGAAGAACCCAGAAGAAAUAUGUUCACUAAGGGUGCGUUUGGUACGUGGGACGGGACGGGACGGAACGGGACGAGGUGUUCCGUCCCGCGUUUGGUGCGCCAAAAAUGGGUGGAACGGGCUGUUCCACGGGACAGAUUUUGGGUGUUUUUGCGUCCCACCUGCCCCCCUGGAACGAGUUUGUUCCACGUUUGUGGAACACAAUGUUUUACCAUUUUAAGACAAAUAUACCCCAUGUCUUUUUCAAAAAUUACACCUUCGUUCCGUCCCGUCCCGUUCCGUCCCGUCCCAUUCCGUCCCGUCUGCGUACCAAACGCACCCUAAAGGACUUAAUAGGAGCGCCCUUAAUUGGGUUAGAGAGGUUUGUGAAGAAAAUUCAUUACCCUCUUUCUUUUUUCGAAUUAAAAAAAAUAUAAAGUAGGGUUUAAUUUUUACUGUUGUUUGAUUAGUCCUCAGCAGUAUUCGUGGUAUUUUAGUUUUCUGGUGCAAGUCAAAUGGAUCAAGGUUUGUUCCCUUUCACUAAUUUCGUUUCAACUUCUGUUGAAUCUAGAUCAUCAGCUUAAUUUCAAGGAUUAAUUACUCAAAAUUUGAUGAAACCCUAAUUGCAGCUGUGCUAUAUUUCAUCGUUAAAUGUUUAUCCAAUCUCUGUGUGGUGCAUAUAUAUUUAAUUUUUUUAUUUUAUUUCUCUCUUCUCCUUUGUAAUUUUGGUAGGGUUUAGGGUUUAGAUUGUUUGGUUAAAGAUUGGAUCUUUUUACACUGCUUCUCUCUCUGUGUCGAUCGUCUGUCGUGUGAAGAGUUUCUUUUUCUGGCUGAUUGCACUGUUUCAGAUGGUUUCUCUGUUUUUUUUUUCUUUGAAUGGGAAGAAAAUUUGCAGAUCGAUGGCAAAGAAGUAUAGGCUAAAGUUGCCUGAUGUUCUUACCAACCGCAAGUCAGUAUCCCCUGAAAACGAUGCUCUGGCUUUUUUACAAAUUAAGCAUGUAUGCAAAUUGGGAGUGGUUGUCCUGCGAUACUGGUAGUUUGAAAGAGCACUGUUUAACCUUCCCAUCCAUCUCAAACCACACAUUCCUUGAGAGUCGACGGGUAAGAAAGCGAACUAUUUUGUAUUGUGACGAGUCUUAGAUUAGGGAAUUUACCUCAUUAUCCAUUAGAAAAUAUGUAGUCUGAAAUGGAAAAAGCAUAAGAUGGUUGCGGUACAACAUUUUUCACGUGGCAUUCUGUUUAAAGAUUCCAAAAGAACUGGAACCAAACAUAUUCGUUCGGAAAUCAAAGUCUCAUUUGUUAGUUGGUCAUUGCUCUCACAUCUUCGAUCUUCAUCUGUAAUUAAACUCAACCGCAUGUCCUAAUUAUUUGUGCAAUCCGUGUAUUCAUCACCUAGCUAUUUUCCAAUGCUUGGUUUGUGUUAUAUUUCUCUUACAAUGCUACAAUGCAUCAUAUUUCGUGUCCUAAUUAGUAUGCAUCUUUUAAAAAACCGAAUCCAUACCGUUUUGUACCAAAACAAAACCAAUUCUGAAAAGUUUGGUACAACUUCUGCACGCCCUUGCAUACUGAUCUGAACCCUACCAAAUUGUAAUUUGGUUCGGGGUUAGACAGAGUAAUGGUUGAUGAAGGAAGGAGAAUUACACGGUCACGAAAGAGUUUUCACAAGAAAUGUUGUGUACAAAGAUAUUUUGCUUCUAUCAAAUAUAUAAUAAGGUUACAUUGAUUUUAUUAAUGUAUAAUUCACUUUUCAAAUCUACAUAGAUAAAUACAUUUAAAUUGUAUAAGUUGUGCGUAAAACAAUGUCAUUAUAAAAGAGUCUUCUCCAUGUGCGUGAGCGCGUUCAAGGAGACUAGUAAAUCAAUUAAACUAACUGUUAGUGAAUAUAAAUAGACAGUGAAUAUCGCUUCGAUCUAGAAAAUUGAGGGACCUAGGAUAGUUUCACUUACAAGCUACAGCUGCAAAAUAAACCAACAUAGCAGUAUGGAUCAACAAACGAAUGCACCACUCUAACGGCGUCAAUAACAUAAAUUUGAGUCGGAUUGCCACCAAUGUAAUGUAAGAGUCAGUUUGGUUACAAUUAGCACCAGUAAGGACAUCAGUUUGAUGUCGAAUAAAGCUUCCUGCCAGUUUCGGCAUUAUUGUUCUCCACAACCCUGAAACCCAUGGUUGUGUUGAUUCUUUAUCGGGACUAGCUUUUGUGUUUUCAGCUAAAGCAGAAAGAAAAAGAAUCGAGACCAAAGGGGAAAUAAAAUGAAAACUGUUUGGCAUUCCUAAUAUGAUUGUUGAUUCUCUUACAAGUUUUCUCGAUUGGCUUUGGGCAACGUGUAAACUCAUAUUCCCUCUCUUUUCUUUUGUUCUUCAGUCAUCAAACAUUCAUAUCGAUUCACAAUAAGAAUGGUCCAACCACUAAUAACAAUUUAGUUUAGUGAUAUUUUGUCUUUGUAAUUCUAGAAGUCGAGUUCUUGUCUCAUGGGUUAAAUCGCUAAAUAAGAAUGUUGUCGAUAAGGUUGGUAACAUUGUUUCUUGUUACUUUUUUUCUACCUGAUUUGGUUUCCCUUAUAUUUUGGAUCCCUACAAUUGUGAAGUUACCCAUUUUGAUGCAAAAUGGGGGCAGGGUACUUAUGCUUUUUGUUUUGGAGAGAUAGUCUCAUCUUAUCCAACUCAUGUGUCAAUCUUUUAUUGAAUAUAAGAUUUAGUUUUUAAAAGCGUAAACAACGUUCAUUGGGUGAGUGACGUCACUAAAACUCUGCACACAAUGCAAAAGAGACCCUCUGGUUAGUUUGACAAGUAAUUCCUGUUCAGUCAAAAGAGAUAAAUAAUGUGGCUUAGUAAGCAUUGGAUAGAUCAUGCUUGUGAGAGUAGUAGGAGGUCUUGUUCGUUGCUCAUUGACCAUUACUUGCUUUAUUCCUUGAUUUUUAAAAAAUUAUUGCCUGGGACAUGAACAUCAGGUUAAUUAUUGCAUAUGUCAGUAUUGUGUUAACUUUGAUGAAAUUACAUCUAUAUGUGCGGUAGGAAUCAAAUUGAUCAACAUUAUACAUUAUACGAGGUAUGACGAUAAUUGAUAACGCCACGUAAUACUCUAGCUACAAAUAUUAAAACAUUUCCCUAAUAUCACGCCGUUCCUCACGUUUUGCAUCCACGCACAAGCAAAUGUGAAAGACGUCAUCGAUUGAUUUCAAACGUAAAUGAUGAAACUGAUGACCCAAGGAUAAACUGCAAAAUAAUUGGAUCGCAUCACACAUUGGCAAUACUAUAUAGUACGUCACGUGUCGGAAAAGUCAGUUGUUGGAAGCAGCCUACCAACAGGCUACAUGUAACCACGUUACUGUCUGAGGGAGAGGAGUGGGACCAACUCAGUUUCCUCAUCGAGCAAAAUAACUGAAGUUAACAAGUGUCACGCGUCCGUUAGAUAAUGACUUAUUUUAUUUUAUUUUUGUUAAUUAAUGAAAAAUACAGUUGCUCCGCAACUCACUCUCUUCUCUUGUUGAGUGAUUUGAGGACCAGUCUCUUCUCACUUGAUCAGCCUCUGAAUUCUGGUCAACCCCCAAAUGACGAUCUUGUCCUUCUUCACCAGAGCACAAGAGCUUUCAAUGGCUGCCCACCCUGUUGCCUCCAAGCUUCUGGUGCUCUGUACUAUCAGGUUCUCAGUUUUCUUGUUUACCAUGUUAUUUUCUUUUCGAUCUGUUUGGCUUCUGAGAAAAAUGCAUGACAAGAAAAUGAGUUGGGUUGAAAUAUUUUCUAUCAUAGCGUAUAAAGACACAUUCUUUUUUAGUUUUGGUUGUAUUUCAACGAAGCAUCAUUUUUUUCCUAGUUCAGGCAAAAUGUCAUAGCUCAUAAGCUCUGAAUCUAAAUUUUUCUUUGAAUCUCAGUUUUCUAAGCCAACAGACGCUAGACUUUGUUUGGUUACUGAGAAAAAUAGGCUGCAAAUGUUUGUUUUGGAGUCCUAGCUAUGCUGACUUUAUUUAAUUAGAGAAAAUAGACUCCAAAAUGUAUGCUCAGUAGCCUACAGGCCCCACCCCGUUUCCACUGAGAACCCUAGAAAUUUAUAUAGUGAAUAAUUUCUAAAAUCUACAGGCCCCAUCCCGUCUCCACCGAGUGCCCUAGAAAAUUGAACCUUUCCUCUCCCCAGCUGUUUUUGGCUUCGUAUGUGGAUUAUUUUUCCCUAUGAUUAUGGCUUUCGAAUUCAAUCAAAUUAGCUAUCUUCUGUUCCCAGCGCAUUUCGCGGCCGAGCUGGAAUUAAAGAAAUCGGCAGGCAAACGCAAAGCCCUGCUAAUCAAUUUGUUGUUGGAGGAUUUAGAUUGUGUACUGAUUAAUUUGUUUGCAGGAGGAUCAAUUGGUACAAACAAGGAUCGAAACAAGAGGAUGUUUGGUGGAGAAAAUGGCAUGCGAAAAUCAUUACCUUCGAUUAAUCAUGUCUUGAUGGGUUCAGAUUGUACAAAUUUUUUUAUUGGAAUUCAGGCCAAAAACGGACGUCUACUUGUCUAUGAAUGUUGUAAACUUUGUUGUAAUCGGAAUUUGAAAAUUUUAACAUAUUUUUGUUUUUGUGAUCAAUUUUUGUUAGUUAAACUUGUAUGGAUCGGAAAAGAUUAUGAUAAUUAUCAACAUUUAAGCUCAAAGCGUCACUAACACAUGAACCAAAAUUUGUAUUAGAGUAAUGCUAGAAAUACCAUAUUUCUAAACCAAAUUUUGUAACCAAAUGAUGUGAAUGUUGAUGAUUGGAUUUUUACUUGAAUGUUUUUAAUGUGCUUAUUUCCUAUUUGUUCCACAUUAUUUAAUUUAAACAAUUUGGUUUAGAAAUUUGGUCGUCCUAGCAUUACCAGUUGCAAUAAGCAUGAGUGCUUAGUACGGUACAUUAGCUUGAAGUUGAAGCAAUCUAACUCGAACAUGUUCUAAACCUAACUCAUACCUCCAUCUCUUCUCGGGUUUUGGAUAUGUGAUGCCUCCAGGGUUUACACAUUGUAGACUAUAGAGUAUUGAUGAAUUUGAACAGAACCGUAACCGUAGAGUAUUGAUGAAUUUGAAUAGAACCGCAAUACUAUCAGAAGCUUUGACAGAGGGAGGCCAAUGUUCAUGCCCUUUCCCAUGCAUUUAAGUUUCCAAAGACUUUGUUCAUUUUCCAGCUAAUGAACCGUAUGUGAAGGGUUGAAUAGUUGACUUAGUUGAUUUGCAAUGAUCAUCACAAAAAGGGCAUAUAGGUUAAGUUCCAGUAACAUGCAUACGGUAAAUCUUUGCCUGCCUGCUGAAUUCUUUGUGCAGCCAUGAAUACCAAACCAAACUCAAAGUUCGUGUUCUCCGUUAUUUUAUUAUGUGCAUUUCUCGAGUACCAUGUUUACCUAGCAGCUGCCACGAUCAGCGAAAACCAUUCUCUCUCGGGCAAUCAAACCAUUGUCUCCCCAGGUAGGAUUUUUGAGCUCGGUUUCUUCAAACCAGGUAAACUUUCAAACUUCUACAUAGGCAUGUGGUACACCGACCGAGUAGUAUCCGAGAGGACCAUUGUUUGGGUGGCAAACAGGGAAAACCCAGUUUCCGAUAUAUUUUCUUCAGUUCUAAUGAUUUCAGAUGGUAAUUUAGUCCUGCUUAACUAGUCCAAAGCGAUUGUUUGGUCAACGAAUUUAACCUCCUCCUCCUCCGCCACUGCAUGUCUUUUGGAUACCGGAAACCUGGUCUUGAGAGCCGAGUCUAGUAAUAGUUCAGAGCCGUUAUGGCAGAGCUUUGAUCAUCCAACGCAUACUUGGCUGCCAGGAGGUAGAAUUAGGUUUAACACUGUUACCAAACAAACCCAAAUUCUUACUUCAUGGAAGAGUUCGGAGGAUCCUGCACCAGGUCUUUUCUCGCUCGAGUUAGACCCGAACGGAAGCAGUGCGUUUUUCAUAAUGUGGAAUAGGUCUAGGCAGAAUUGGACUAGUGGAUCAUGGGAUGCAAAAUUAAGGGUUUUCCGCUUGGUAAGUACGGGGCUCAAUAAAAAAAUAUACAACCUCAGCUAUGUUACCAACGCAACCGAAGGUUAUUUCACCCAUUCUGUUUAUGAUCCUAGGAGAAUAUCUCGAUUCGUGUUGCUUACUUCGGGCCAGAUUCAACAGCUGACAUGGAUUGAGAAUUCCACGCAAUGGAAUUUGGUUUGGUCUCAACCGAGAAAGCAAUGUGAAGUUUAUGAUUUGUGUGGGGCCUUCGGAAGUUGCAAUGAGGAAGGUCCCCUCGCCUGUAAUUGCUUGAAAGGUUUUGAGCCGAAGGUGAUGAGAGAUUGGGAUUUAAAGGACUACUCUGGUGGGUGUUCGAGAAAAACCGAUCUGCAUUGUGGAAAUGCUACUACUGCGAGCAGAAAGCCAGACCGGUUUCUUGAACUUCCUAGCAUGUCAUUGCCUAAAAAUAAUUACACUAUGGAGGUUGGGAGUAUUGCGGAAUGUGAACCGUUCUGCCUUAGAAGCUGUUCUUGCACUGCUUUUGCUUAUGACAGCAGCGGAUGUUCGAUUUGGAACGGAGAACUCUUGGAUUUGCAACAACCAACAUCAAGUGACAAACAAGGAAGAACUUUAUACCUCAGACUUGCAGCUUCUGAGUUUGAGAGUUCUCAAAGUAACAAGGGAUUGAAUGUUGGUGUUGUGAUUGCAAUUGUCUCAAUAAUCACAGGUUUGCUGGUUGUCAUUUUUGGCUAUUACUUACGGAAGAAAACAUUGGAAAAGAAAAGAGAGCAUAGGAAAAGAAAUGGUGAAAAGAACGAUGCAGAACUGCCUAUCUUUGGUUUAAGGGCUAUAAUAGCUGCUACAAACAAUUUCGCCGAAGCUAAUAAACUCGGAGAGGGAGGAUUUGGCCCUGUCUACAAGGUGACACUUCCAUUGUGUACUCUAAAUACUAUUAUAUUUUUCUUCUCAUACACCCUUGUUUAUUUAUAAUUUUUGAAUCGAAUAAUUCCAAAAAGACGAAUCACGGGACAAAUUACACAUAGAUGUGAGAAGAAAAAAGGGUGUUCAAAAAUAAUUUUAUCCUUUAAAAAUUACGACCGUUCCUUUUUGCUUUUACAAACUUUUCUCUUGUGCACUUUUCUUCCUCUGUACAGGGAAUUUUGGGUGAAAAUCAAGAAGUAGCCAUAAAAAGGUUAUCAAAAAAGUCAGGCCAAGGACAACAGGAGUUCAUGAAUGAGUUAAAACUUAUUGCUAAGCUCCAACAUACCAAUCUCGUUAGGCUAUUGGGUUGCUGUCUUGAAGACGAGGAAAUGAUAUUGAUCUACGAGUACAUGCCCAAUCGGAGUUUGGACAAACUUUUGUUUGGUAUGUGUACUUAUAUAUAUGCAUGAUAAUGACGUAUUGAUUCUUUGUUUCUGCAAAUUGUUUUCCUUGUGUUUAAAUGCCGUGUACUGCAAGAUCAAAUGCACCGUGUCCAACUUUUGAUCUAAAAGGAAAUUAAAGAAAAACACUUGCUCAUCUUUCUUCAUGGUUUUUCCAAUCAUCAGAUGCAUCUGAAAAAGGAGAACUAGAUUGGGGAAGACGUUUUCAAAUUAUAGACGGCAUUGCUCAAGGAGUACUUUAUAUCCACAAGUACUCGAGAUUGAAAAUCAUCCACAGGGACCUAAAAGCAAGUAACAUACUGUUGGAUGGAACCUUGAACCCCAAAAUUUCAAACUUUGGAAUGGCAAGAAUUUUCG